CCUACGGGAGGCAGCAGUAGGGAAUAUUGCUCAAUGGGGGAAACCCUGAAGCAGCAACGCCGCGUGGAGGAUGAAGGUUUUCGGAUUGUAAACCCCUUUUGUUAGAGAAGAUAAUUACGGUAUCUAACGAAUAAGCACCGGCUAACUCCGUGCCAGCAGCCGCGGUAAUACGGAGGGUGCAAGCGUUACUCGGAAUCACUGGGCGUAAAGAGCGCGUAGGCGGGAUAGCGAGUCAGAUGUGAAAUCCUAUGGCUUAACCAUAGAAAAGCAUUUGAAACUGUUAUUCUAGAGUGUGGGAGAGGAAGGUGGAAUUCUUGGUGUAGGGGUAAAAUCCGUAGAGAUCAAGAGGAAUACUCAUGGCGAAGGCGACCUGCUAGAACAUAACUGACGCUGAUGCGCGAAAGCGUGGGGAGCAAACAGGAUUAGAUACCCCUGUAGUC
Molecule: ribosomal RNA, 440 nt
Filed under: uncultured bacterium
Lineage: Bacteria
Description: partial 16S ribosomal RNA
Rfam family: Bacterial small subunit ribosomal RNA
Source: RNAcentral